This 497-nucleotide ribosomal RNA is filed under the name uncultured bacterium. RNAcentral describes it as "partial 16S ribosomal RNA". It matches the Rfam family "Bacterial small subunit ribosomal RNA", at positions 28 to 507 of the family's 1533-position model. The record is from RNAcentral.
GAUGAACGCUGGCGGCGUGCCUAAUACAUGCCAGUCGAGCGAACGGACGAGAAGCUUGCUUCUCUGAUGUUAGCGGCGGACGGGUGAGUAUCACGUGGAUAACCUACCUAUAAGACUGGGAUAACUUCGGGAAACCGGAGCUAAUACCGGAUAAUAUUUUGAACCGCAUGGUUCAAAAGUGAAAGACGGUCUUGCUGUCACUUAUAGAUGGAUCCGCGCUGCAUUAGCUAGUUGGUAAGGUAACGGCUUACCAAGGCAACGAUGCAUAGCCGACCUGAGAGGGUGAUCGGCCACACUGGAACUGAGACACGGUCCAGACGCCUACGGGAGGCAGCAGUAGGGAAUCUUCCGCAAUGGGCGAAAGCCUGACGGAGCAACGCCGCGUGAGUGAUGAAGGUCUUCGGAUCGUAAAACUCUGUUAUUAGGGAAGAACAUAUGUGUAAGUAACUGUGCACAUCUUGACGGUACCUAAUCAGAAAGCCACGGCUAACUACGUG